CCGAUUGGAUGCCUCCAAGGCUUCCAAUCACCCCCUCCUUACUUCUCACUAGCUGCUCCAGGGUCUGUUCUGUCUGUAACCAUCAUGCCAAGUCAUGCUGGCCUGUGGAAACCUCCAUUGGCAAAAUCCCCUUUGCUUCCCUUCAAGCACUGCCGUCUCCAACAGCUGCCAGUUGCUCAUCAGAAUAUCUGCCGCAGUCUGUACCUCGACUGACAACUUUGCCUUCGCUGCCCAUUAAGCCUUGCCUAUCGACUAGCUGAUCAAACUGCAGUCUGCUCCAGGGUUUGUCUAGCACACGGAGGCAAAGUUGCACCAGGGUCUGCUGUCAAACUGUUGCCGACCGGUAUAAGAAAGCCGUUGCGACACUGUCCAGAUUUGCCGACACAAAAGGACACAUGCUUACCUGGACAGUUUGACUAAGUUUGUUACUUUUGUGUCCUGCUCACCAUCACAAAAUCCAAAGCUUUUAUGAUUUUUGUGCAUUCAUGACAGUUUGCAAAGGCAACACAGCAUAAAUCAAUGCAUGAAAGCUGUAAGUGCUGCAUCUUGCAAAACAUACAAGCGAUUUUGCACUGCACACCAUCACUGUACAACUCCAUCU
RNAcentral lists this unclassified non-coding RNA (601 nucleotides) under Trebouxia lynnae. Its description in RNAcentral is "Trebouxia sp. TR9 partial contains 26S-18S rRNA intergenic spacer region". The record is from RNAcentral. Lineage: Eukaryota; Viridiplantae; Chlorophyta; Trebouxiophyceae; Trebouxiales; Trebouxiaceae.